UACGGGGGGGGCAAGCGUUGUUCGGAAUUACUGGGCGUAAAGGGCUCGUAGGCGGCCAACUAAGUCAGACGUGAAAUCCCUCGGCUUAACCGGGGAACUGCGUCUGAUACUGGAUGGCUUGAGGUUGGGAGAGGGAUGCGGAAUUCCAGGUGUAGCGGUGAAAUGCGUAGAUAUCUGGAGGAACACCGGUGGCGAAGGCGGCAUCCUGGACCAAUUCUGACGCCGAGGAGCGAAAGCCAGGGGAGCAAACGGG
This 253-nucleotide ribosomal RNA is filed under the name uncultured bacterium. RNAcentral describes it as "partial 16S ribosomal RNA". It matches the Rfam family "Bacterial small subunit ribosomal RNA", at positions 524 to 776 of the family's 1533-position model. The record is from RNAcentral.